RNAcentral lists this Y RNA (114 nucleotides) under Prolemur simus (greater bamboo lemur). RNAcentral's name for it is "Y RNA (ENSPSMG00000018135.1)". It matches the Rfam family "Y RNA". From Rfam's summary of the family: Y RNAs are components of the Ro ribonucleoprotein particle (Ro RNP), in association with Ro60 and La proteins. The Y RNAs and Ro60 and La proteins are well conserved, but the function of the Ro RNP is not known. The record is from Rfam by way of RNAcentral. Lineage: Eukaryota; Metazoa; Chordata; Mammalia; Primates; Lemuridae.
GGCUAGUCCAAAGGUAGUGAGUUACCUCAUUUGAUUGUUCACAGUCAGUUACAGAUAGAACUCCUUGUUCUACUACUUUCCCCUCUUCUCACUACUGCAUUUGACAAGUUUUAA